AUGAACCCUGAUAGGAAAACAACACUUGAAUUGUCAGUUCGCGCUUAUGCAGAGACAAAAUCUGGGCCAGUCAUCAAUCCAACAAUUGGCACAUCUUUUGACUCAUUGGACGAAGCCUAUGAGUUCUACAACCUCUAUUCAUGGGAAUAUGGUUUCGGCGUGAGGCUUGCGAAAAGCAGACUGAAUAUUAAUCGGAAGAGAUGUAUGCAAGAAAUACUGAGUGCUUGUGCGGGCAAACCAAUGAGGGAAAACAGUCGAUCAUCAAGGUGCGGGUGUGAAGCCAUGAUUAGAUUGCUCCGUUCAAAUGACAACGGUUGGUACAUAUUAGAGUUAAAAUCUGGCCAUAACCACCCGCUGUCUGUGACAUGUGGAGAAAAAAUGCAUUGGAAGUCACACAGGCACAUCGAUAGAUACACAAAGGAUCUGGUGAAACAACUCCGCGAUAACAAUGUUGGUCUUGGGAAGGUUUUCAGCAUUGUGGGGAGUUUUUUUGGCUCAGUUGAAAAUGUGCCAUUUACAAAACGUUCAUUGAAGACACUGUGCAGGAAGCUGAACAAGGACCAGUCAGACUCUGACGCUAUGAAAACAAUGGAAAUUCUGGCUGAUAUGCAAGCAAAUGAUCCUGACUUCAAUUACACCGUGCAAGUAGAUGAAGACAGCAGGAUAAAAAAACUCAUGUGGGUUACGAGUAGGGGGUGUGAUCAUUAUCGGUAUUUCGGUGAUGCAAUUACAUUUGACACAACAUACAAGACCAACCUAUAUGACAUGCCAUUUGGUCUUUUUGUUGGUGUCAACAAUCACUUUCAGAGUAUAAUCUUUGGAGGGGUCAUGAUGAGAGAUGAGAAAGAAGAAUCUUUCAAGUAG
This 864-nucleotide ribosomal RNA is filed under the name Triticum aestivum (bread wheat). RNAcentral's name for it is "partial small subunit ribosomal RNA". Lineage: Eukaryota; Viridiplantae; Streptophyta; Magnoliopsida; Poales; Poaceae. The record is from RNAcentral.